AACUCUGAGCAGUGGAUCACUCGGCUCACGGGUCGAUGAAGAACGCAGCCAGCUGCGAGAUUUGGUGUGAAUUGCAGGACACAUUGAGCACUGAUUUUUCAGAACGCACAUUGCGGCCUCGGGUCCUACCCGGGGCCUAGCCUGUCUGAGGGUC
RNAcentral lists this ribosomal RNA (154 nucleotides) under Araneus ventricosus. Lineage: Eukaryota; Metazoa; Arthropoda; Arachnida; Araneae; Araneidae. The record is from RNAcentral.